CCACGGUGCCUCGACCGCGACCCC
RNAcentral lists this ribosomal RNA (24 nucleotides) under Adinandra latifolia. RNAcentral describes it as "partial 28S ribosomal RNA". The record is from RNAcentral. Lineage: Eukaryota; Viridiplantae; Streptophyta; Magnoliopsida; Ericales; Pentaphylacaceae.